AUGCCUCAAAGUUAUGAGUAAGGAAAAUAACUCAGUGUGACACAUGAAUCCUCACUGUUAAUGUGACGUGAAUUUUUAAGUGGGUAAAGGUUGCCCCAAAGGUGACCGGCCUACUUUGUGGGAUUCCUGGGAGUCACAAUCUGUCAG
Vulpes vulpes (red fox) is the source of this 147-nucleotide small nuclear RNA. Its record names the gene U12. It matches the Rfam family "U12 minor spliceosomal RNA". From Rfam's summary of the family: Although the U12 sequence is very divergent from that of U2, the two are functionally analogous. The record is from Ensembl. Lineage: Eukaryota; Metazoa; Chordata; Mammalia; Carnivora; Canidae.